UAAAUUCAAUAGGGUAUUACAUGCAUUUUUGAAAUAUAUCUUAAAUAAAUUCUUUAGUCUUAAUAUAUCUCUAAAAAAUUAAAAAUAUUUUUUUUUCUCACGUUAUGUACGAAUAUAAAUUAAUUGUUUUAUCAUAAUUUCAAAUUUCGCGCGUAUUUCGCGAAAACGUGGCACACAACGGACGCCAUGAUUGUUUUUUGGUCAUGACAUCAUUACGUUAGUAAACAAACUACAGCUGUCAGUAAUACAUAUUUUGAUAUGUAUUGAAAAUUUUAAUAAUGAGUAAUUAUGCUCCGUAUCGUUGGUGUGUUGUUUCUGAAUGUGAGAACACUAGUGUAAAAACACCAGACAAAUUAUGGAUUCAAGUACCAGUGGAUAUAAAUAUGAGAAACACUUGGUUAAAAGUUGUUUACUACCGUAAUGACGUCAUUAGCAUGGCGGCGACAUUUCGUAGUGUUCAAAGACAGAUAAAAAAACCUAAAAACUUUAAACUGCAAUAAAAAAUAUAUUUAUGUACCUUACGAAGUGAAACUAACAUUUCCCGAUUGCUUUUUCUCUAAACAAUCAUUGUAAUACACUUUUAAUUUUUUUCUCAUCUAGACUAAAAUACCCUAUUGUCUUUAGUCACGCCAUCACGCUUGAAAGACUGGACCGAUUAGCUGAAAAUUGGAGGGGACGUGGCUUAGACCCGGGAAAAGGACAUGGGAUAGUUUUCGUCACCAUCCGUCUACGGGAAGCAGUCAUCUCGAGACGCGGGUGAAACAUUAACAGAACAUAUCGGCAUCAUCAGUAGAUAGAUUUUAAACUGAGAUUUCAACUCUGCCAACGAGCUUAAAUCAACAUAAGAAGGUACCUAAUUAUGCAGCAGUUGAAGGGAUAACAUGAUGACUGAGCUUCUUCAUCUUCAUUAGAACAUGGUGUCCAUGGCAGGCAGAGCUACUUCAUCAUCAGUACGAGGGAAAGUGAAGAUAACCAAUGUGAUCAUGCAUUAGAUUUUGCAGGGAUGCUCUAUUCCAGAAACUAUAGUUGUUGCUCGAAUAGUAGUAACUUCAAUGAUAUCCUUUUAAAAUAAUAUAGAGAGUAGAUUAUUUUUUUUUCAUUUGAUUGU
This is a long non-coding RNA of Helicoverpa armigera (cotton bollworm), 1108 nucleotides long. RefSeq lists it as uncharacterized. The transcript is spliced from 3 exons. The record is from RefSeq and is a predicted model, not a curated record. NCBI's taxonomy places the organism in Eukaryota, Metazoa, Arthropoda, Insecta, Lepidoptera, Noctuidae.